RNAcentral lists this long non-coding RNA (896 nucleotides) under Homo sapiens (human). RNAcentral's name for it is "long intergenic non-protein coding RNA 1524". Lineage: Eukaryota; Metazoa; Chordata; Mammalia; Primates; Hominidae. The record is from RNAcentral.
GAUGACGCACAGUGCUGGCGCAAGUCGUCUUGCGCCAGGCGACUGGGUCUGAGGAGGCAGGAGUUAUUCAUUCCCUUAAGCUUUCAGGCCGGGGGGAGAAUCUUUCAGGUGGUAGCUGCAAGAACUCUUAGUAUGUUGACCUCACCUCUGCCUUCCACAUACCACUACCAGUGAGGAAUUAGGAAUGCAUGAGAAGAGUGUCCAAGAAGAGUGUCCUCAUUCAUGCAAGGCUUAAGAGAGAAUGCAGGUCAACAUCACCAUGUCAAUCAGAGGGAAUUAUUGCAGAGGGUACUAAAUAGCAAGAAGUCACCCAGCUAGUAAGUGGUGGAACCAGGAAUCGAGAGAGUCUGGGUUCUUUACCCCUCUGCUGAGCAGUUUGAUUAUAACAAACACAAAAACAAAAAAUACUUCUGUUGGGUUGAAUGACUCUCUGCCCCCAGGUGCAGAUGCUGAGAGCACUUUCUAGUCAAGUCCUGCAUGUUCAUUUCUGUCUCAAGUCAGCUUCUCUGAGAAUCCAAUUUAUAAAAAUAUAUUUGUGAAUGUAUAAGUAAAGUGACUUGGAUUUUGUCUACGUACAAGGACUUCUAUGCCUGCAUAAAACAGGUCACAGUAAAGAGCUAUUUCAGUGCAAUGAAAAUGGAACCCAGGGUAUUUGGGAGUUUUGACAUCCAGGCCUAGUAUCGUAAAGACACCAAGUUUGGAACCAGCAGCAGCAGCAGCUCCCCAGACCUACUGAAUCAGAAUCUACAUUUUGAUAAGAGCCCAGGGUGACUCCAUGUACGUGAAAAAGUUUGAGAAGUCCUUAGACCUACAGUUCACAGCUUCUCCUUCUUUCUUAUUCAACUGAAUUGCAGUGGGACCUGAGUAUGGUUAAAAUAAAUGAAUAAAAACACAAA